GAUGAAGAACGCAGCGAAAUGCGAUAAGUAGUGUGAAUUGCAGAAUUCAGUGAAUCAUCGAAUCUUUGAACGCACAUUGCGCCCACUGGUAUUCCGGUGGGCAUGCCUGUUCGAGCGUCAUUAUCCUCCCUCAAACCCCGGGUUUGGUGUUGGACCCAAGUUGUGUGAACAACUGGUCUCAAAGACAAUGACGGCGUCCGUGGGACCCUCGGUGCAACGAGCUUUUAGGAGCACGCGCCGAGUUGCAAGGACCUUCCGGGCCGGUCUCCUUUACUAUUUUACAAGGUUGACCUCGGAUCAGGUAGGAAUACCCGCUGAACUUAAGCAUAUCAAUAAGCGGAGGA
RNAcentral lists this unclassified non-coding RNA (344 nucleotides) under soil metagenome. RNAcentral's name for it is "partial contains 5.8S ribosomal RNA, internal transcribed spacer 2, and large subunit ribosomal RNA". The stretch from base 1 to 120 matches the Rfam family "5.8S ribosomal RNA", at positions 35 to 154 of the family's 154-position model. The record is from RNAcentral.